Molecule: ribosomal RNA, 644 nt
Filed under: Stylocellus sp. Sumatra 15
Lineage: Eukaryota; Metazoa; Arthropoda; Arachnida; Opiliones; Stylocellidae
Description: SSU rRNA
Rfam family: Eukaryotic small subunit ribosomal RNA
Source: RNAcentral
UUAAAUCAGUUAUGGUUCCUUAGAUCGUACUUUUCUACUUGGAUAACUGUGGCAAUUCUAGAGCUAAUACAUGCAGCAGAGCUCCGACCUUCGGGGACGAGCGCUUUUAUUAGACCAAGACCAAUCGGACUUCGGUCCGUACGCCACGGCGACUCUGGAUAACUUUGGGCUGAUCGCACGAUCUCGCAUCGGCGAUAUUUCUUUCAAGUGUCUGACUUAUCAACUUUCGAUGGUAGUCUAUGCGCCUACCAUGGUCGUAACGGGUAACGGGGAAUCAGGGUUCGAUUCCGGAGAGGGAGCCUGACAAACGGCUACCACAUCCAAGGAAGGCAGCAGGCGCGCAAAUUACCCACUCCCGGCACGGGGAGGUAGUGACGAAAAAUAACAAUACGGGACUCUCUUGAGGCCCCGUAAUUGGAAUGAGUACACUCUAAAUCCUUUAACGAGGAUCUAUUGGAGGGCAAGUCUGGUGCCAGCAGCCGCGGUAAUUCCAGCUCCAAUAGCGUAUAUUAAAGUUGUUGCGGUUAAAAAGCUCGUAGUUGGAUCUCAGUUACAGACGGGCGGUCCAUCUUACGGUGGUUACUGCCCGGCCUGAACGUCCUGCCGGUUUUUCUCUAGGUGCUCUUCACUGAGUGUCUAGAGUG